GACGAACGCUGGCGGCGUGCCUAAUACAUGCAAGUAGAACGCUGAAGCUUGGUGCUUGCACCGAGCGGAUGAGUUGCGAACGGGUGAGUAACGCGUAGGUAACCUGCCUGGUAGCGGGGGAUAACUAUUGGAAACGAUAGCUAAUACCGCAUAAUAGUAGAUGUUGCAUGACAUUUGCUUAAAAGGUGCAAUUGCAUCACUACCAGAUGGACCUGCGUUGUAUUAGCUAGUUGGUGAGGUAACGGCUCACCAAGGCAACGAUACAUAGCCGACCUGAGAGGGUGAUCGGCCACACUGGGACUGAGACACGGCCCAGACUCCUACGGGAGGCAGCAGUAGGGAAUCUUCGGCAAUGGACGGAAGGCUGACCGAGCAACGCCGCGUGAGUGAAGAAGGUUUUCGGAUCGUAAAGCUCUGUUGUAAGAGAAGAACGAGUGUGAGAGUGGAAAGUUCACACUGUGACGGUAUCUUACCAGAAAGGGACGGCUAACUACGUG
RNAcentral lists this ribosomal RNA (497 nucleotides) under uncultured bacterium. RNAcentral describes it as "partial 16S ribosomal RNA". It matches the Rfam family "Bacterial small subunit ribosomal RNA", at positions 28 to 507 of the family's 1533-position model. The record is from RNAcentral.